UAUAUUGAUCCUUUUAUUCAGAGUAGUUAACACUGAAUGUUUGUCGCUCAAGAUACAUCAUUAAACCAUUAAACCAAAUUAGGCAAAAUUCAAGAUUUCAAGAAUCGCAACUUAGUCUUCACAUUAUUCUUCACAUAGUAAGCUAUCCAAUACCCAUUCCGUUCACGCUCCCAUUACACAAGACAACAUGAAAGAAACCAAAUUAAGCAAGAACCAAAGUUUCAAGAAUCUCAACUUGAAACAUAGAAGUUCUCUAGUUUUCAAGAUAAAAACCAAAGUCAGUGUCUUCACUCCUGAUGAACAUGAUGCAGCUGAUGGUCUAGUUUUGUUGCAAAACCUAUUCCAAAAGAAGGAGGUUAUUAGAAAAUUCAAAAUAACUUUUCGUGGCAAAAAGAUUUGUGAAAGAAUCUACAACAACAAUAGGUCGAUCGUUUCUUGCCAUUGUUAAAAGAAGGUGAAGAUGAUGAAGAAGGAAUAUAUGUCACUGCAUAUGACAUGCACGGCAAAGUGUUCAACAUGAAUUUCAAAUUAAAGAGUAUAGACUUAAAGUAUAGGAAUUUGAUGAAUCAUUGUAGUAAGAUUUUCACAAAUUAUUAAUUACUGAGUUAGUUUUAAGACUUCUUUAUUUUUU
Molecule: long non-coding RNA, 631 nt
Filed under: Trifolium pratense (red clover)
Lineage: Eukaryota; Viridiplantae; Streptophyta; Magnoliopsida; Fabales; Fabaceae
Description: long non-coding RNA (TPRA_LNC007125)
Source: RNAcentral